CUCCUCUGGCCCCCAGAACCUCAAGAAGGACAUCUGGGGCGUGCUGGACCAGAUGGAGAACAUCCAGCUGGGGAUUCUCAGGUGCAGGUGCCAAUCCACCCCGUGGGCCAUGGCAUCCAUGAGAGAGAGAAGCAGAAAGUUGGUCAGCACGGCACCAGCUUCAGGGCCCUAGAGCUCACACCCUUCCCGCAUUGAGAUAGCCCCAGCCCAGGAUGUCUCAGCCCCGAACAGCUGUGCACCCCUCACACUCCCUCAGCGCUGCCCCUGGCAUUUGGCAGGCAGGAGAGUUCUAGCAGGUUCAGCAGCCCCUACAGGGCCCUGAGCCAGCAGGUGGCCCCUAUGCACCCCCAUUUCAUCUCCCCAAGCUCUCGGGUUCCUGGGAUUCCCUGUGGGUAGCGGCAGACCCAAGUCUUUCCCCCAAACACCCUGUCACUGCCAGAACUGAUGCAGACCCAAGGCGAGAGACCCUCACACUUCCCAGCCACAGACCAUCGGCCACCCCCUCCUUCCAAGCCUCUGACUCAGCCCAAGUCCACAGAAAUGCCCCCAAGGAACCCACCGACCCCUGCACACCAGACAGCAGCCACCCCCUCUUCUGAGGCCUGGCCCCUGCCCUCCCCUAACUCUGGGGGUCCUGCAGCAACAGUCCUGGCCUUGCCCGAGGAAAGAAUCAAAAUAACUUUUUUAAAAUAAAAUUAUAGAUAUAUAGAUGUAGAUAUAAAAACAUAAAACAGAAACAACGCAA
Molecule: long non-coding RNA, 745 nt
Organism: Gorilla gorilla gorilla (western lowland gorilla)
Lineage: Eukaryota; Metazoa; Chordata; Mammalia; Primates; Hominidae
Exons: 2
Source: RefSeq, a predicted model, not a curated record